GCUAGCACCAUAAAGGUGGACUGUGACUUUUCCGUAAGUUAUUAAGUGCUUCCACAUCAGCGGGGCUUUCAUACAGAAGCUCUGCGGAGUGUGUUGCAAGAAUUUAAACAGCCAGAAAGCCAAUUAGUGGCUUCUAUGCCAGUAACGUGUUGACAUUUCGCAUAACUGUAACUGACACCAGUUGCUUUUUGACGGCAUCAUUUGAAAUACGCGGGCCAAUCUUUUUUAAAAACACAAUGUAUUCUUUACAUCCCCUGCCACUAUAGAUGGAGUUUCAUGUUCUCUCCUCAAAGAGUGACUGGUGAUGAUGGGGGAAGCCUUAAAGUUUGAAAGGCAUCUUGCAUACGUUUUUUAAAAAAUGUUGUAGUGAUCGAAGAAAAAAAGAUUCAUCGUGUUGUCAGGUGCUUUGCUGCAACAUUGACUGAAACAGGGAACUAAUCAAAGGAACAGCAAACCUGCAGACGAGAUGUCCACAUCAUUGAUGCAGACAGAUAAGAUGUACUUACACCGUUGCGGCGUCUGGAUGAGGAUGACAGAAGGUGGUGGUGCUGGUGCUCCUGCUGCUGCUGCUGCUGCGGGAGAGAUGCAACGAUGCUGCACCGCAACGCACCAACUGGAUUUCUGGAGGCGCGCUUCUUCCAACCAGCAGACAGCCCAACCCCCUAAUCCCGAAUCCUCAUCUGCUCUGCUCUGCAGCAUCAGACGGUGAUUCUUUUUUUAUUUUUUGGCCCCCCGUUGGGAGCUGAAUUAAUGAUGCAUUCAUAGACUUCUAGUAAAUUUUAACUUCAGUGAGUAUCUGGUAGAGGUUUUUAAAAAACGGUUAGUACGGUGUUGGGUCGGGGGGGCUGAUGGGUUACGGUCAGAAAAUAUCCCAGCGUCCAGGACCACAAGCUAAGGGUUGAUACGAUAAUACGAUGUUCUCGUUCGCACAUGGGGUGUAAUUUGAAGUCAACGACUGUUACAACUUUACAGGUGUUCCUGAAGGCGCCACAAGCAAAAUAGAACUACUGUAUGAUACAUUUUCUACAGUUCUUACAUGGUGAUACUCAUUUGCAGUCAAACGACGUUCCAGAGGUUCCUGAAGUUCACGAGUGAAGCGUGAAAUUUACACACUUUCAGCUUAGCAUCUUUGUACAUCGGUGAUAAUCAAUAAAUCAAGUGACGUUCUAAUUUUCCAUGAGUCCUUGAAGGCAUCUUAUGCAAAGCAUCGAUACGUUUUCUCCUGGAUGACCUGCAGACAAUAAUUAUUCGAUCUUUCCAAUACUAUAGUUUCUGAAUGUCGCGUCAACAAAUGGUUAGUUGUGCAAUAGUGUGUUUUGUAAUUUGUACGAUGGUAAUAUUCUAAAAUUAAGAAAUAUUAAAACUUUCUGGGGGGCUCCAGGACAAAAGUGUUAUUAUGUUUUAUAGUUUGCACAUGAGAAAAAAUGUUCAUUCUUCGAACUUUCCAUAAAUUUAAGUGAAACCUUUACUUUUGUGACUUUGGGAGGUCACCAAACCACAAACUCGACCGAAAGUGAGUAGGUGUAGCCUUUGAAGCCAAAAUGCAGUUCAUCUUUGGUUCUCUUCUUCCACCUGGUGUUCAAAAUGUUACAAUGCAACUUUGAGACACGUCCUGCUGUAAAUUUGUUUCUAAAUAGAAUGCCACAGUUUAAAAACGUUAUUUGCGGUCAAUUAUUACUUUCAAUUUCUUUUUUUAAAUCUUGUGAUAUAAGGUGAUAAGACGCUCAUUUGUUGUCCUUGUUGGCGGCUGCCCAGGCGGCAGUGAUGGUUCGAAGCAGUGACCCCAAAAAUUACAGGGGAGAUAUUACAGAUAAUGUAUACUUUUAAUAACUAAUGACAUGUUUUUAGCCAUGUUUAAAAGUGUGCCGUUGUGCGAUCCCUUCUGCAUAUUGUGUCGCUGUCAUAAUAGUGGGGCUAAUGAACAAAAUGCCCUUCCCACACAGAUUUAUUCAUCACAGUUAAGAUUUAUUUCAUUCAACAUUUCACAUUACAAAUAUUGAAAAAUUAUGCAUACUGUUAUAUAAAUAGUUGGCCGCAAACAAUUAAAUAACAGAUUUUUCUUUUUCGUUUCACUAGCACUUCUACAGACCAACUCCUAGAAAUAUGGACAUAUCCGUAUUACAUAACUUAAUCAUUAGAAAGGAAAAUACAAAAAUAGGAACUUAUCAAGUGAAAUGACAAUAAAAAUUAAGGUGAUAUUUGAAGUAAAAAAAACAGCUAUUAAUAAAUACAACAAACCUUCCCAUACACAGUUAAAAACUAUUGAAAUCUUGCCAUUAAGUAACAUUAACAGACAAAUAUUUAAAUAUUUAUUUUCCUUCAGAAAAUGUGAACCAUAUAUUGUGGAGCACAAUAUAGCAAUUAGUAAAAACUAGACACUUUAACAUAUUAAAAGCUUCACCUCAAAAAUAUAACAAAAAUCUGAUUAAAAUUAUAAAAAUCAAUUAUACAUUCCAAUUAAAAAUAUACCAAUAAACAGCUAAAUACAUUGUUGACCUAGUAAUUACAAUGCAAUCAAUCACAGUAGCUUAAAAUAAACCAAAAAAAUAAGCAAAUGAGCACAAAAACCUUUUUUUAAUGUUUUAAAAAUAACUUCAAUUAUUUAUAUUAGUACAAAUAGUUGGAUUUCAUUUCUCUCUUUUUUUUCUUACAAACACCAGCAUGAAAAGGAUUACAUUAAACAGUAGAAAAUGACUGUGAAAAAACAUAUUAACAUCUUUAAUUAAAUGUCUGCAAUAAUUAAAAAUGGCAUUUGAAAGAAUUACAUUGCAAAGAGUCUUUCGUCUGGAAAAAGGUUCAAAAGAAGUAUUGCACAUAACAACUUGAAAGUUAACUUGCAACAUUGUUGUUGUUUUUUUAAAAUUCUUUUCUUUUUCACCACAUUCAAGUCUUUAAGCUCCCCUUCCUCCGCGUAGGUCAAGUCUUCAUGUUUUUUUUUUUUAAUCCGCAUUUUUUUCGACAGUGUUCUAGGUUGCUCGAGUCUGAAACGUCCACGCUCGCUUAUUCGCUUUUGAGUUACGCGCAUCCCCGCUGAGGUCUGCCAAUAUGUGAGAGAGGGAGGACAGAAGGGAUGGUCAGGGGAGGGGUUGAGGUCGGGGUUCGCCGUUACAUCAUCGUCCAGAAACAUUUGGUGCACACCACAACAGUUAUUUUCGAGCUAAUUCACCUCAUUUCCGCACUUUUUUUUUUGUCAUCAUGCAUGCUAAGGAUUACGAUAGGUGCUAGUUGGCAAGUUCAAGAAUAUAGAUACUAUGUAUAUAUAUCUAUUUAUAGUUGUUUUUUUCUUCAAAUAUUAAAA
This is a long non-coding RNA of Hippocampus zosterae (dwarf seahorse), 3298 nucleotides long. RefSeq lists it as uncharacterized. The record is from RefSeq and is a predicted model, not a curated record. The transcript has 2 exons. Lineage: Eukaryota; Metazoa; Chordata; Actinopteri; Syngnathiformes; Syngnathidae.